AUAAAGAGAUUGUAUGUGCUAAAGGGGGAAACAUGCCCCAGAACAAGAGUUAAUAAAGGUUUCCAAAAUUAUUGUUAAGGGGAAAAAUAAAGGUAGUGUUUAUCCUAGCCAACCAGGAAAUGGGCUUAGGAGCGGCCAUUUUUUAAAGACCUUGUAAUAGAGCACUGGUCUUUACAAUUUUUGUAUUGUAUUGAUAGAUGCACCUAAAAUUUAACGGAUCUAAACAAUAUACCGAGACCUUGUCCAUGUAUUUUUAUAUUUAUAAGUUACAUAUAAUAUAUAUGGGGUAGCGGAACGUUGGGCAUAUCUCAGACUUUUUCUUUUUAAGACUUAAGAUUAGAUGACCCAAGUGAUAAUGCUGGCAAGAGUAACGAUAAAGGGUUUAUACCCUGGCCUAAAGCUUAUGGAAUUUACGUAAAGUAACGGCCUUUUAGUUUAAGUUUGCUUUACUUUAUUGGGUUCUUUAGCUUUAAUUAAAAACGUGAUAAAGUAAAGUUACCUAAUGGUAUAAACGAUGAGAAAAAAUUUAAGUUUUCCAGAAAAUAAGAAUGGAUACUUAUGGAAACAUGGAAUUGUAAAGUUGAAAAGGGUAUUAAAGUUUUCGUUAAAGAAAAAAAAAAUAUUUAGUAGGUUUUGACUAAACACACUAUAUAAAUAGAAACAGCAUUUGGGUUAGUGGUAACUGGAACUAAGGUGCUGGUUGUACUAGCUAAAGUGACAAAUGGUCUGGAAAAAUGUAAAACUACAUGCUUAAUUAGAGUAUAGACGAGGCGGAUCGUCCGUUGUCCAUAAAAUGC
RNAcentral lists this ribosomal RNA (797 nucleotides) under Rhizocarpon adarense. RNAcentral's name for it is "partial large subunit ribosomal RNA". The stretch from base 1 to 363 matches the Rfam family "Bacterial large subunit ribosomal RNA", at positions 993 to 1301 of the family's 2925-position model. The record is from RNAcentral. Lineage: Eukaryota; Fungi; Ascomycota; Lecanoromycetes; Rhizocarpales; Rhizocarpaceae.